Molecule: non-coding RNA, 726 nt
Organism: Phoenix dactylifera (date palm)
Lineage: Eukaryota; Viridiplantae; Streptophyta; Magnoliopsida; Arecales; Arecaceae
Source: RefSeq, a predicted model, not a curated record
UUGGUCUCCCUGUUGGUGGCAGAGGAACUGUGACGAAAGCAUCAAAGAGGUGGAUUUUAUUUCAGAAUAGGCCCGUGUAUACCCUUCUUUCUCUUCCUUAGAUGGAUCGUGAUGUGCCGAAGUCUUCCCAACUCUCACUGAGGAGUGAGGUUGAGAGUAGGCGUGUAAGGGCCCACAUUUUUUGGGGCUUGGGCUAGCCCGACACACCUGAAACGGGAGGGAGACUCCCGAAUAGAGUCUUCCCUCCCCUGUUUCUAUUGCUCCCAUGAAUCCACCGGAAGAGGAAACAAAGAAAAAAAAAAGAGAGAGGGAGACGGGAUCAAAUCCUACCUUAUUUGAAUCAAUUUACAUCUAUAAAAAAAAGAAUCUCUUCCCCUCUUCCUUAGGGCAUCAACCGAGAGUCUUUCCACAAAAAAAAAAAGGGGAGAAAAGAGGGAUUUGGAGUUCUAGGCGAUCCGUGGGAGAAGCUCGGGUUGCUCGCCGUUGGACCAGCCGGAAAGGCUCGCCGGAGGCAAGGGGAACAAUUUGUUGGACGAAAGGACGCUGAGCAGGGUUCUGCAUAUCCGGAUUUAUAGAUCGCCGUGAGGGUGGGUGAUUAGUCUGUCCGAGUUAACAAAGGAGUUACAUGAUGCAUUGAUUUGGACAGGAUGGGCGCAGAGUGCAAGUACCCGAGUCAUUAGUUAGUUGGUUUGUUUAUCUUUCUUUGAUGUUGAUGAACAUUUGAAG